This is a long non-coding RNA of Callithrix jacchus (white-tufted-ear marmoset), 500 nucleotides long. RefSeq lists it as uncharacterized. Lineage: Eukaryota; Metazoa; Chordata; Mammalia; Primates; Cebidae. The record is from RefSeq and is a predicted model, not a curated record.
UCCUUGGUUACAUCCUAGCUACAGCCAGGACAUGUGAAGGACAAUCAAUGAACCAGCAGGCAAGCAGCAUGAAUAGGGAGGGAAGAAAGCCUUCCUCCUGGGCUCUUCUCACAAAGAAAAUGACCAUCUAAAACAACAGGAUUAACAAACCAGCCUCUGGAAGCGUGUUGGGGGAUACUGGAGAAGAGUAUUUUUAGGAGGUGUUACUGUGAAGCAUAGCAGGUGGCCAGAUGGUAAUGGAAGGAAACACAGCCCCUUCUAUCAUCUACAAGAACAACUGAGUGGCAUUCAGGAAUUCAAGAUGUUAGUGGAGGAAACAACUACAGAUUUGGUGGAAAUAGUAAGAAAACUAGAAUUGAAAGUGGAGCCUGAAGAUGUGACUGAAUUGCUGUAAUCUUAUGAUAACAUUUGAAUGGAAGAGGAGUUGCUUCUUUUAGAAUAAAAAAGUGAGUUUUUUUGUUUGUUUGUUUUGUUGAGACAGAGUCUUGCUCUGUCACCCU